UAAAGCUUCAAACUGGGAUUAGAUACCCCACUAUUCAUAACUGUAAAUCUAAUUAAACUUACCAGAGUACUAUGAAUGAAUAUGUUAAAUUCAAAUAAAAUAGAAAUUUAAAACUCAAAGGGCUUGGCGGUGUUUUAGACCUAUCAGGGGAACCUGUCUCGUAAUCGACAAUCCACGCUAAACCUAACCUCGCUUUGUACACAGUUUGUAUACCGUCGUCGUCAGGUAACUUUUAAAAAUUUAGAAGUUAGCAACGUAAAUUACUAUAAAUUUAAACGUCAGAUCAAGGUGCAGCUAAUGGUGAGGAGAGGAUGGGUUACAAUUAUUUAAUUCGUAAUCACGAACAACCCAAUGAAAAAAGGUUUAAAGGAGGACUUGAAAGUAAAAUAAAAUAUAUAAGCAAUUUGAAUGUGGCUCUGAAACGUGCACACACCGCCCGUCACCCUCUGCAGUCAAAA
This 458-nucleotide ribosomal RNA is filed under the name Phos senticosus. RNAcentral describes it as "partial 12S ribosomal RNA". It matches the Rfam family "Bacterial small subunit ribosomal RNA", at positions 760 to 1416 of the family's 1533-position model. Lineage: Eukaryota; Metazoa; Mollusca; Gastropoda; Neogastropoda; Nassariidae. The record is from RNAcentral.